AACGAACGCUGGCGGCAUGCCUAACACAUGCAAGUCGAACGAGACCUUCGGGUCUAGUGGCGCACGGGUGCGUAACGCGUGGGAACCUGCCCUUAGGUUCGGAAUACCUCCCCGAAAGGGGUGCUAAUACCGGAUAAUGUCUUCGGACCAAAGAUUUAUCGCCUUUGGAUGGGCCCGCGUUGGAUUAGCUAGUUGGUAGGGUAAAAGCCUACCAAGGCGACGAUCCAUAGCUGGUCUGAGAGGAUGAUCAGCCACACUGGGACUGAGACACGGCCCAGACUCCUACGGGAGGCAGCAGUGGGGAAUAUUGGACAAUGGGCGAAAGCCUGAUCCAGCAAUGCCGCGUGAGUGAUGAAGGCCGUAGGGUUGUAAAGCUCUUUUACCCGGGAUGAUAAUGACAGUACCGGGAGAAUAAGCUCCGGCUAACUCCGUG
Molecule: ribosomal RNA, 433 nt
Filed under: uncultured bacterium
Lineage: Bacteria
Description: partial 16S ribosomal RNA
Rfam family: Bacterial small subunit ribosomal RNA
Source: RNAcentral